RNAcentral lists this long non-coding RNA (328 nucleotides) under Chrysemys picta bellii (western painted turtle). RNAcentral describes it as "lncRNA (ENSCPBG00000005770.1)". The record is from RNAcentral. Lineage: Eukaryota; Metazoa; Chordata; Testudines; Emydidae.
CAGAGCUGGCUUUGGAGCAGUCUACGCUUUGGGAACAACGUAGCUCCAAUGGUCAGAUUCCACUGAAGUAGCCCUAUUUCUGUCUCCUAAAGUGACUUCACUGAUCUCAGAUAUGGGAGUCAACAGUUCUCCUGAAGAUCUCCAUUACCAGUCUGGCCUGUGGAAGGGAGGAGUUGUUCUCUUCAGUGUCCUUACUUUUCAGAGCUCCCUGCUUAAUUCAGGAUCUGUUUGUUGCCCAGGUGGAGUCAGUUCUUGAGCAGAAUGAGUUCAUCUCUCCUGCUCUCUAGUCCGCGUUCUGAAGAAGAGAAACCCAUUGCUGUCUUGUGGG